RNAcentral lists this ribosomal RNA (425 nucleotides) under uncultured bacterium. RNAcentral's name for it is "bacterial SSU rRNA". It matches the Rfam family "Bacterial small subunit ribosomal RNA", at positions 354 to 796 of the family's 1533-position model. The record is from RNAcentral.
GUGGGGAAUAUUGGACAAUGGGCGCAAGCCUGAUCCAGCCAUGCCGCGUGAGUGAUGAAGGCCUUAGGGUUGUAAAGCUCUUUCAGUGGGGACGAUAAUGACGGUACCCACAGAAGAAGCCCCGGCUAACUUCGUGCCAGCAGCCGCGGUAAUACGAAGGGGGCUAGCGUUGUUCGGAUUUACUGGGCGUAAAGCGCACGUAGGCGGAUCGUUAAGUCGGGGGUGAAAUCCUGGAGCUCAACUCCAGAACUGCCUUCGAUACUGGCGAUCUUGAGUCCGGAAGAGGUGAGUGGAACUCCUAGUGUAGAGGUGGAAUUCGUAGAUAUUAGGAAGAACACCAGUGGCGAAGGCGGCUCACUGGUCCGGUACUGACGCUGAGGUGCGAAAGCGUGGGGAGCAAACAGGAUUAGAUACCCUAGUAGUCC